This 440-nucleotide ribosomal RNA is filed under the name uncultured bacterium. RNAcentral describes it as "partial 16S ribosomal RNA". It matches the Rfam family "Bacterial small subunit ribosomal RNA", at positions 339 to 795 of the family's 1533-position model. The record is from RNAcentral.
CUACGGGAGGCUGCAGUGGGGAAUCUUAGACAAUGGGCGCAAGCCUGAUCUAGCCAUGCCGCGUGAGUGAUGAAGGCCUUAGGGUCGUAAAGCUCUUUCGCUGGGGAAGAUAAUGACGGUACCCAGUAAAGAAACCCCGGCUAACUCCGUGCCAGCAGCCGCGGUAAUACGGAGGGGGUGUAGCGUUGUUCGGAAUUACUGGGCGUAAAGCGCGCGUAGGCGGACUGUUAAGUCGGGGGUGAAAUCCCGGGGCUCAACCCCGGAACGGCCUUCGAUACUGGCAGUCUGGAGUUCGAGAGAGGGGAGUGGAAUUCCGAGUGUAGAGGUGAAAUUCGUAGAUAUUCGGAGGAACACCAGUGGCGAAGGCGGCUCACUGGCUCGAUACUGACGCUGAGGUGCGAAAGUGUGGGGAGCAAACAGGAUUAGAUACCCGCGUAGUC